AGGAUUAGAAAUGCGAAUAUUAUAUCAAAAUAGGGUAGAACUCACCGAAACGAGAAUUUUGACACUAAUUUUGAAGAAAACGGUCCAAGAUUGGACCGAAAGGACCGAACCGGUUGAACCGGACCCGAACCGGGCUGUCGGUUCAACCGGACCAGCCCUAUUAAAUGAACCCAGCUUUGUCUUCUCCCUCGUUACUGCAGCAACGAAGCUUUCAGCUUCCAGGGAGAAGAGAAACGAGAAACAUUCCCGUAACCCUCACGUUAAUUCUCGAUCCCCGUAACUUCUCCGUCCGAGCUCCAAUCGCCGCACCGUUUGCGGCCACGCGUUCACCGCGUCGAGCUCUACAUUUCUACCGGAACAAUUUCAUAGGAUCCAAUUAGUUUGAGAGAAACGUUCACUCUUGCUUAUGUGAAGCUUGGGUAAGGUUGAAAAUAAAUAAUUGGAGCUUGAAACUGUGAAUACUGGAACUUGGAGGAAGCGGAUUAGUUGAGUUUUGAGGGGUUGUCUUGGUUUUGAAUAAAUAGCUUUGGUCGUUACGUGGAAAUCGGCCAAGAUGCAGGUCGAGAGGCAUCUUGUUAGGCGUCUGAACUCUUGAAGCGAAGUGGUUACUGGGAUAUUUUGUUAUGCUAUGAUGUAUAUAUAUGUACUUAGAUUUCUCUCCGCAUGACUUAUUCUUUUUGAUCCUCUUAGAGGUUUAUGGAGAGGCAGGAUUGUGUAUAUGUACUUUUGGGUUUGGAUACGUAUGUAUAUAUGUGUAAAUAUUCUCCGGCCAGUCUUGACUUCGCAGGCUGAGUUAGGAGCUUGAUAUUUUGUA
Molecule: long non-coding RNA, 814 nt
Organism: Arachis stenosperma
Lineage: Eukaryota; Viridiplantae; Streptophyta; Magnoliopsida; Fabales; Fabaceae
Exons: 4
Source: RefSeq, a predicted model, not a curated record